Long non-coding RNA from Ornithodoros turicata, 426 nucleotides. RefSeq lists it as uncharacterized. The record is from RefSeq and is a predicted model, not a curated record. The transcript is spliced from 4 exons. NCBI's taxonomy places the organism in Eukaryota, Metazoa, Arthropoda, Arachnida, Ixodida, Argasidae.
CUGCUCCCCUGAUGAAUGACGCGUUUGAACAAGAUGUAACGGUCGCUUGCUGCUUCAAGAUGCAGCGUUCGCGCUUGUCUGCCGUGUUUUGACUUUUCGCGUUCGUCUCAGCAUGCCCCAAGUGCCAUUUUUGCUCUUAAUGUUAUUAGCGUGACAUGCGACAAUAUAAAUUACAGUGAGCGUCAUCGGCUUCAGUACGACCAGACAGGUGUCAUGCGAUUGCGGCUCUGUUGCAGCUGCGAAGACUGCUUCAUCAUCCUUCACACGGAAAACACGGGUUGCUCUAGAAUCCGCAUAGCUCACCAGAGUACUCGUGGCGUGGAUCGGAAAAGCAUGACGACUGCGAAGCAAUAUGUCGGACUCCACAAGCGCCUUCUGUAACGGGGGAUACACAGGAAAGCUCUAUACGUAGAAAACCAACUGAUG